Sinocyclocheilus anshuiensis is the source of this 104-nucleotide ribosomal RNA. NCBI's taxonomy places the organism in Eukaryota, Metazoa, Chordata, Actinopteri, Cypriniformes, Cyprinidae. The record is from Ensembl.
GUAGCAUGCAAUAGGCAGAGUCUGGUUCCUCACUAAAGCUAAGCAGGCCAGAGCCUGGUCAGUACACUGGUGGGAGACCAUUUGUGAAAAUGUAGCUUGCUGCU